This is a long non-coding RNA of Saccostrea cuccullata (small rock oyster), 211 nucleotides long. RefSeq lists it as uncharacterized. The record is from RefSeq and is a predicted model, not a curated record. NCBI's taxonomy places the organism in Eukaryota, Metazoa, Mollusca, Bivalvia, Ostreida, Ostreidae. The transcript is spliced from 2 exons.
AAUAUCUUUAUUUUCUUUGAAUAAAUGUUAAUGACAAGCCUUUUUUGAAUUUGUUAUCAGAGUAAAAAUGUAGAAAAGCCAAAGGUGAGGCAACAGAUUGAUUGCUGUGAAGACAAAGACUGAACUGACGGAGCUAAAUGAAAAGGUUCUAAUUAAGAAGACCAAUGAAACAGAAUCCUCUGUGGAAGAAAAGAAGACAGGAAAAGAAAAG